Molecule: long non-coding RNA, 559 nt
Organism: Uloborus diversus
Lineage: Eukaryota; Metazoa; Arthropoda; Arachnida; Araneae; Uloboridae
Exons: 3
Source: RefSeq, a predicted model, not a curated record
AAGUUUCAAGUGUGAAGAUAUCAACUUUUAAAAACGUAAAAAUUUGCAUCUUUUUGAAUAAUUUCUUUACGAUUUCUUAGAUUAAUUUCUCUUUCAGGGAAGAAAUGCGCUUAGUAUGCUGUCUUUAUCGUUGAACUGAACAUAUCAAUCCUUUCAUCCCACAUCGUCGUCCCAUUGAGAGAAACAUGUCAACUGCCCGAAGUCUAGUGCUGAAGUAGACAAUUGAAUGAAUGUCUUAACUUUUUGGCCAGUAAAAAGUUUGAGAAAGACCAAUAAGAACUGAGGGAAAGAGGCCAAUAAGAAGUCACAGAUUGAAAUAAGAUGUGUAAUGCAAGUAUCUGUACAAAAUUAUAAGGAAGAAAUGAUAGCAGAUUCAAAAAAGGAAAUCAAUGAUUUAAGGGCAAAGCUUUGCAUUAGUAAAUAUCUAGGACGUCAUGCAUGUCUUCGGAAGAGAGUUUAACAAAUAAUAUUGGCAGUACUUCUAAAAAUCCAUUUAAACUUUGUUCAUCAUGAUGAAAGUAAAUUACAUAAAAAGAUUUAAAUUACUAACAAUGUUCAU